GCCUGGCUGGCUCAGUCGUAGAGCAUGGGACUCUUAAUCUUGGGGUUGUGAGUCUGAGCCCCAUGUUGGGCA
RNAcentral lists this transfer RNA (72 nucleotides) under Ailuropoda melanoleuca (giant panda). It matches the Rfam family "tRNA". Rfam says of the family: Transfer RNA (tRNA) molecules are approximately 80 nucleotides in length. Their secondary structure includes four short double-helical elements and three loops (D, anti-codon, and T loops). The record is from Rfam by way of RNAcentral. Lineage: Eukaryota; Metazoa; Chordata; Mammalia; Carnivora; Ursidae.